GAUGAAGAACGCAGCGAAAUGCGAUAAGUAAUGUGAAUUGCAGAAUUCAGUGAAUCAUCGAAUCUUUGAACGCACAUUGCGCCCUCUGGUAUUCCGGGGGGCAUGCCUGUUCGAGCGUCAUUAUAACCACUCAAGCUCUCGCUUGGUAUUGGGGCUCGCGGUUCCGCGGCCCCUAAAAUCAGUGGCGGUGCCUGUCGGCUCUACGCGUAGUAAUACUCCUCGCGAUUGAGUCCGGUAGGUCUACUUGCCAGCAACCCCCAAUUUUUACAGGUUGACCUCGGAUAAGGUAGGGAUACCCGCUGAACUUAAGCAUAUCAUUAAGCGGAGGA
Molecule: unclassified non-coding RNA, 329 nt
Filed under: soil metagenome
Description: partial contains 5.8S ribosomal RNA, internal transcribed spacer 2, and large subunit ribosomal RNA
Rfam family: 5.8S ribosomal RNA (bases 1-120)
Source: RNAcentral